RNAcentral lists this ribosomal RNA (253 nucleotides) under uncultured bacterium. Its description in RNAcentral is "partial 16S ribosomal RNA". It matches the Rfam family "Bacterial small subunit ribosomal RNA", at positions 524 to 776 of the family's 1533-position model. The record is from RNAcentral.
UACAGAGGUCCCAAGCGUUGUUCGGAUUCACUGGGCGUAAAGGGUGCGUAGGUGGUGAGGUAAGUCGGAUGUGAAAUCUCCAGGCUCAACUUGGAAAUGGCAUCGGAAACUGCCUUGCUCGAGGUUUGGAGGGGGGGCUGGAAUACUUGGUGUAGCAGUGAAAUGCGUAGAUAUCAAGUGGAACACCAGUGGCGAAGGCGAGUCCCUGGACAAAACCUGACACUGAGGCACGAAAGCUAGGGGAGCAAACAGG